This 505-nucleotide ribosomal RNA is filed under the name uncultured bacterium. RNAcentral's name for it is "partial 16S ribosomal RNA". It matches the Rfam family "Bacterial small subunit ribosomal RNA", at positions 28 to 507 of the family's 1533-position model. The record is from RNAcentral.
GACGAACGCUGGCGGCGUGCCUAAUACAUGCAAGUAGAACGCACAGUUUAUACCGUAGCUUGCUACACCAUAGACUGUGAGUUGCGAACGGGUGAGUAACGCGUAGGUAACCUGCCUGGUAGCGGGGGAUAACUAUUGGAAACGAUAGCUAAUACCGCAUAAUAUUAAUUAUUGCAUGAUAAUUAAUUGAAAGGUGCAAUUGCACCACCACCAGAUGGACCUGCGUUGUAUUAGCUAGUAGGUGAGGUAACGGCUCACCUAGGCGACGAUACAUAGCCGACCUGAGAGGGUGAUCGGCCACACUGGGACUGAGACACGGCCCAGACUCCUACGGGAGGCAGCAGUAGGGAAUCUUCGGCAAUGGACGAAAGUCUGACCGAGCAACGCCGCGUGAGUGAAGAAGGUUUUCGGAUCGUAAAGCUCUGUUGUAAGAGAAGAACGGGUGUGAGAGUGGAAAGUUCACACUGUGACGGUAUCUUACCAGAAAGGGACGGCUAACUACGUG